UCUGAAUCACUAUAAGCCUUUCA
RNAcentral lists this non-coding RNA (23 nucleotides) under Arabidopsis thaliana (thale cress). The record is from RNAcentral. Lineage: Eukaryota; Viridiplantae; Streptophyta; Magnoliopsida; Brassicales; Brassicaceae.